ACGGAGGGUGCAAGCGUUGUUCGGAAUCACUGGGCGUAAAGCGCGUGUAGGCGGUCUGAUCAGUCGAGUGUGAAAGCCCGAGGCUCAACUUCGGAAGUGCACUCGAAACUGUCAGGCUUGAGUACGGGAGAGGGAAGUGGAAUUCCUGGUGUAGAGGUGAAAUUCGUAGAUAUCAGGAGGAACACCGGUGGCGAAGGCGGCUUCCUGGACCGAUACUGACGCUGAGACGCGAAAGCGUGGGGAGCAAACAG
Molecule: ribosomal RNA, 251 nt
Filed under: uncultured prokaryote
Description: partial 16S ribosomal RNA
Rfam family: Bacterial small subunit ribosomal RNA
Source: RNAcentral